RNAcentral lists this ribosomal RNA (468 nucleotides) under uncultured bacterium. RNAcentral's name for it is "partial 16S ribosomal RNA". It matches the Rfam family "Bacterial small subunit ribosomal RNA", at positions 28 to 507 of the family's 1533-position model. The record is from RNAcentral.
GACGAACGCUGGCGGCGUGCUUAACACAUGCAAGUCGAACGGAAAGGCCCUGCUUUUGUGCGGUGCUCGAGUGGCGAACGGGUGAGUAACACGUGAGUAACCUGCCCUUGACUUUGGGAUAACUUCAGGAAACUGGGGCUAAUACCGGAUAGGAGCUCCUGCUGCAUGGUGGGGGUUGGAAAGUUUCGGCGGUUGGGGAUGGACUCGCGGCUUAUCAGCUUGUUGGUGGGGUAGUGGCUUACCAAGGCUUUGACGGGUAGCCGGCCUGAGAGGGGGACCGGCCACAAGGGGACUGAGGUACGGCCCAGACGGCUACGGGAGGCAGCAGUGGGGAAUAUUGCACAGUGGGCGGGAGCCUGAGGCAGCAACGCCGGGUGCGGGAUGACGGCCUUCGGGUUGUAAACCGCUUUCGCCUGUGACGAAGCGUGAGUGACGGUAAUGGGUAAAGAAGCACCGGCUAACUACGUG